UUGCUGGCAAUGGUUUCCACCAAGCUGGACUGCCAUGCUCACUCCUACCUGAGAAGGUAGAUGAAGAAAUAAAGGGUACAAAAGGCUCAGAGGGGAGCUGUCUUGUCCUACUUGAUGUUUCCAUGUACCUCAAGCCUGGAUGACACAGUUCCUCCUUUAUUUUUUUCCUUCCCCAGCCAAGUGUUGAAUAAAGGAUUACUUUGAUUAGUCCAUGA
Long non-coding RNA from Pogoniulus pusillus (Red-fronted tinkerbird), 215 nucleotides. RefSeq lists it as uncharacterized. Lineage: Eukaryota; Metazoa; Chordata; Aves; Piciformes; Lybiidae. The transcript has 2 exons. The record is from RefSeq and is a predicted model, not a curated record.